UGAUCCUUCAUAUUCAGCAUCCAGAAACAGAACCAGCAGUGUGAGUAGCAGAAGAAUGUGAUUUGGGGGGGUGGGGGAUCAGCCCCAGUAUUCCACUUAGUUACAAGAAGAGCAACCACACCCUUGACAAAGUGGAUCUCUCAAUCCAUCCUCCCCGACAACCUCAGUAACACCAGACACUCCCACAGCACCAUCAUUGCCUUUGUUUAAAAGCCACUGACAAGACUCCCAUUCAAGGCAUCUUCCUUUGAGAGGAUUCCUGACAGUUUUACUACUGUGGCUUCUUUAUGGGGCCAGGGAAGAGGGAGGGACAGGAGAAAAUCAAUAGCAGGCAGUGGGCAGAGCCCGAGAAUGCUGAACUCUGGUCUGUGACCUCCUUCCCCACCCCUCCCUGCCCAGGCAAAGCUCACAGGACUUAGAUUUAAAAGGGUACACUCCGAGACCUGAAGGGCAUCAAGAUUGGAGUUGACCAGGUCCAGGGGGACUUCAAGAAAGGUCAUGACCAUGGAUUUAUUUGCUCAGGGCCUCCAGGCUGCUGGGAAGGGAGUGGGAUCAGGGUUGGGCGAUGGAGACUGAGGGAGUGCUGUGCCUGUUUCCUCCAGACAUGGUCUUCAGAAAGGAGGAGGGCUGCUAAGGAAAGCCUGCAUCCCUCAGGCUGGAGGGAUGGACUAUCUAGGUCACUAAGAGGAGAUGGGGAGAAUGUGAAUCCUAGUAAUGAAGUCAGCUGUUCUGCCGUGGACAGAGAGUAAGCAGAUGGCUGCUACCAGGGAAUCUGGACAGCCAUAGUGAGAAAGGGUCCCCUCUGUAGACACAAUACCUGGGUGCUGCAGUAAGGAAUGAAUCCCUGCCUCAGAGAUGGCAUUGCAGCUAGCCCCAGGGGAGAGAAAUCAGAGUGACAGUGAGGGAAGAGUAAAUAGUAGCACACAGCCUCUAAGUGGAACACUCAUAGGAAGGAAUCUCCCUCAACACUCAAGCAGCACCAAGGCUGUGUGUCCAGUGAGUAAAUGACCUCAAUGGAACUGCGUCUUUGUAGCCAUUACUUACCCAGUGAAAAUCCCCUGCCCAAGGGAUAUCCAUGCCUAUCUGACACUGGAAAUGGAGCCACCUCCCUGUGCAUGUGGGUUUUCUCAUACAAAAUAAAUUAGGCUGAAAUUAGCCCCACUUCUACUUCAAUUUGCCCUUCUUCGCUAUUAGUGAGGUUAAGUGCCAGUUUUCCAAAUUUGUACCCUUUUCCUCUCAUAUCCCUGUUGGGGCAGACCUAUAACUACAUCAUUAAACUGAACAGUGCCCUUGAGAUACUAAUAAUAACAAAGAAAAAAGAAAGGAAAAACUAGAGUUAGAGAUGGUACAAAAUACAGUCUGGGGUCCAGCCCCUCUCUGUCUGAAGAACAAGAGUCUGGGGCUGAAGAGACAGCUCUUAAGUUAAGAGCACUUGCUGCUCUUACAGAGAACUCCAACAGGGUUCCCAGCACCCAUGUGCUGGCUUACAGCUGUUCAUAACUCUGAUUCCAGGGGGAUCUAGUGCUGUCUUUUGGCCCUAUUAGGCACUGCAUGCACAUGGCACACAAACAUGCAGGCAAAAACCAUACAUAUAACAUAAAAUAAAUGAAUAUAAAAAUAGAGUCUACAUGGCUUAAUCUUAACUGUGAAACAGAGAGAUACUAGCAGUUCCUGAUUCAAAGGACUGAGUCCUAUUAAAAGAUUUAAGUGAACUAAUAUAUGAAAACCAUCCAGUUUAGUGCUUAGUAAUAGUUAUUUUAAACACAGGCUAAUACAAUUAUGCUUUCCAGUGCAGCCGUAACAUCCUUAGAGUUACUUUCAUUUGUAGAGUCCAAGCACUAGCCUAGGCAGUGUCUGUAGGUACUCGUCAUAUGAGUAAAAUAUGGAAGGAGUCAAUGGAGUAGACUUUCUGAAAUUGGUGCCGUGUGCAAGUGAAUCCUAGACAGCAGCAAACACUCACGGAUCAUGUUUUCUUAUAUAAGUCAGGUUGCCAGUAACUGGCUAGGAGAAUGCAUGUGAAGAUUAAACAACAUAAGUCUUCAGCACAGUGCCUCCAGGCAGAAACUGAUGUGGUAGCGUCUGUGACAAUUAAUAUUCAGUUACUGUUAUUAUGACAGGCCAUGUGCUAAGCACUUCAUACACACACACACACACACACACAUGUGAGUGCACACACACCCUUUAAGUCCUUACAUACCCUUAUGAGUAGGUGACAUACCCAACACAAGACAAUAGAAUUUAGAUAAGACAGCAUGGCUCAUGCUGCACCCCUAUACGAGAGAAUUAAGGUUGAGAUUCAGUAUCCUCCAAUUUUCAUAGGCUGCUUAUUUAUCUGCCCCAUUUUAGAAAUUAUUAUAGUAUUAUGUUCCAUCUCUAUUUUCCCAUUUUCCUUAUAGAGUUAUCAUUGGUCAUGUCCAUGUCUGUAUUCCUCUCUAAGCUGAAAUUCUGGAGCUAACUCUUGUCCAUUUUUCCAUAAUACAUUCUUAUAUUACUAAUGGUUACUAUAAUGCAAUAUGUCAACUUCUGUAAAGACUAUUAUAAAUAUUCCCAGCCCCACCCAUUUAAUGAAUGUAUGUGCUCCUCCUAGCAUAUCAUCACACCCCACUCCCUUGUUGAAUGUUCAUGUUUCUUCUAGCAUACUUCCUUGUAUCUAUACUAACUCUUUGUACAGUCAAGGUCCAAGGCUCUCUAUCCAACAUGCUCUGUUUCCAUCUUGAACCCAUAACCAUUGUCAUCAGCAACAGCUGGGCCAGCAGCAGCUUGCCUGUUUGCUCAGUGUCACCAUACCAUUGUCCUCCAGAACUUCCACCUCCAGCCUUAUCCUCUGCCCACCUGCUCAGUGCUUCCUCUGCAUUUCUAACCCUUCCUGAGCUGAGAGGAAGAAGUGGUCCUAAUGCUGCAAUAGAAUCUCUCUCCACCCCUCUCUUAUGAUCACACAAUACAGCCUGGACCACAUGCCUAAUGUCUGUGGCCAGAGCUACAAAACUGACUCUGAGGAUAGUCAAGUCAAGACACCUUUCCCCUCGCUCUUGACUCUAUUGCAAAGAUGUUCCCCUGGGAGGACACAUUCAUUCCGACCAUAUUUCUACUGACUACUACACUGCAUUUAGACACAGUGAUUACAUAACAUUACUAAUGUUGGGUGGACUCCUUCUUAGCAGCUACUCCUGGGCAGAAGCUUUGUGCAGGACCCUGGGACAGCAGUGAUUCCAGCAACCCUGUCCUUGUUUCCAGAGUACUCUCAUCCAUCUGAUCCACGUUUAAAUCAGCUCAAGUUCACUGUGGAACCCACUAAGGUGUGGAUUUUGCCAACUGAAACCUCCAAGGAUGUCUAGAUUGAUUCCCUUCCUGUCACCCCUGUCUCUUGAGUGUCAGGCCCAGAUGGUCCCUUUCCUAAUGAGAUGAAAGAAAUAAGACAUAGAAAAAUGAAGGAAGUUCUCUGCAAUUGCACACCUGGUAUAGAUGAUGACACUAAGAUUUAAACUCCAGAACUCUUCUCUCCAUGAUCCUAUUCUGUCUCACCAGUAAAAUGACAGAUGUCAAUCUUGCUCCAUAUGCUUUCAUGUCAAGAGCUGAGCAUGCCAGAACAUUGAAAAGAAGCAUUAUUUCACAUCACUUAUUUACUCUUAACACAGAAACUGUCCUUUGGGGCCCAAAGACAAAUGGAAUUGCUUAGCCUGAAGAUGGUUGUUUUCACAGACUGAUGGAAACCAUAAAACCUAAGAUACAAAAUGUGACCUGUGCCUUUGACCCAAACACCAUUCUUUACUGGGAAGAACAGGAAAAGAGCUGUGGAUUUCUGAGAAUGGAUGCUGAAAUAUCUCCUUUGUCUCUGCCUCAUAUUGCCCUCCUCUCAAUGAGAAAGAUGAGACAGCAAAGCUCCUUACUUAGUCACAAAGAGUCUCUCUAAAACCAGUCCUUCAUUUUUUACAUUCAAAAUCAAUGGAAGAAAUCACAUGAAGAUCAAUACUUUCAAAUCCAUAAAAAUUAAAAACUACUCUAUGUCAAAAUUUCACACAACCCAAAUUAAAAGCAAACAGUAAAUGGAGAAAAAUAUUCUCUACAGCUAUGAGGGUGAAAUCCAAUUUGGCUCAGUUGAACACAUGUCCGUUGUACACCCUCAGAUACUGUCCCUACACUGUCCUUAAGAUGAUCCCUUUUGGAGUUGUCCUUGACCCUUCAGAAUCCAGAUCCUCCAGUAUGAAUGACUUUAGCUUUCAUCAGGUGACUUGGUGCCCAGUCACUCUGGCUUCGAUGGGAUAAAUAGGACACACAUGUCACUUGGAACCUCAUGAGUCUCUUCAGCAAUUCCUCUUUUUUCUGCCUCAUGUCUUCCAUAGCAAAUAUAACACACAAGGCAGUGAUGUGGAGUCAUGGAGACAGCCGUUCCACCCUACCGAUACUGACGGGAACAGUUCUGCUGUUUCGGCAUGAAGGAAGACACAGGCUCUCCACCUGAGAAGCUUCAUGUUGAGCAGCCUCCUGUGUCUAUCACCUGCCUUGAUGCUGUGACAAAACAUCUGGUGACAAGCAAACUCAAGGGCAGGCUUUUCUUGGGGGAAAGAAUGGCAGCAGGCACUUGGGCAGCUGGCCACGUUGCACCUGCAGACAGGAAGCAGGAAGAGAUGCACAGCGAUGCUUAGUUCGCUUUCCAUAUUUUAUUUGUUCCAGGAUCCUCAUACUCACAAAGUUGGUGCAGGACACAGAACCUAGUGGUAUUCAGAGGGUGUCACGCUCCUUUGACUAGCCUGAUGAGAUAUGACAGCAACUGAGCUUGUAUCUCUUCUAGAUCUUAGUCCUUGGAAAGAUGCUGCCAUAAAGUGGCUUUCUGCCACAAUUCACCUAAUCUAGAAAUUCCUGACAAGCACGCCCAGAGGCUUGCCUCCCAGGUGAUGCUAGACCCUGUCAAGCUGAAAACCAAAAUUAGCCAUCACACUCCCAUCCCUAGUUUUCCCUGAGGAUUUGUUUUUUUUCAAUUGUGCAUGAAUAUCACAUUUUAUCUGAAUGCUUUUUGUCAUCCAUUGCUAAUUAUCAUGUGGGUUUUCAUAUUGAAAAGCUGUCAGUAUAUUAAUAGGUUUUUUUCCUAACACUAAACUGUUCUUGCUUCCCUAGAAUAAAAUUGGGUUAGCUGUGA
Long non-coding RNA from Mesocricetus auratus (golden hamster), 5134 nucleotides. RefSeq lists it as uncharacterized. The record is from RefSeq and is a predicted model, not a curated record. The transcript is spliced from 6 exons. NCBI's taxonomy places the organism in Eukaryota, Metazoa, Chordata, Mammalia, Rodentia, Cricetidae.